This 423-nucleotide ribosomal RNA is filed under the name uncultured bacterium. RNAcentral describes it as "bacterial SSU rRNA". It matches the Rfam family "Bacterial small subunit ribosomal RNA", at positions 355 to 775 of the family's 1533-position model. The record is from RNAcentral.
UGAGGAAUAUUGGUCAAUGGGGGCAACCCUGAACCAGCCAAGUCGCGUGAAGGAUGAAGGUCUUAUGGAUUGUAAACUUCUUUUACACGGGAAUAAAGCGGGGGACGUGUCCCCCUUUGCAUGUACCGUGUGAAUAAGGAUCGGCUAACUCCGUGCCAGCAGCCGCGGUAAUACGGAGGAUCCGAGCGUUAUCCGGAUUUAUUGGGUUUAAAGGGUGCGCAGGCGGGAUGUUAAGUCGGCGGUGAAAUUUUGCAGCUCAACUGUAAAAGUGCCUUCGAUACUGGCCUCCUUGAGUGUGGAUGAAGUAGGCGGAAUUUGUGGUGUAGCGGUGAAAUGCUUAGAUAUCACGAGGAACUCCGAUUGCGCAGGCAGCUUACUAAGCCACAACUGACGCUCAUGCACGAAGGCGUGGGGAUCAAACAG